RNAcentral lists this transfer RNA (76 nucleotides) under Halobacteriovoraceae bacterium. RNAcentral describes it as "tRNA-Ala". It matches the Rfam family "tRNA". Rfam says of the family: Transfer RNA (tRNA) molecules are approximately 80 nucleotides in length. Lineage: Bacteria; Pseudomonadati; Bdellovibrionota; Bacteriovoracia; Bacteriovoracales; Halobacteriovoraceae. The record is from RNAcentral.
GGGGGAUUAGCUCAGCUGGGAGAGCGCUACUCUGGCAGAGUAGAGGUCAGCGGUUCGAUCCCGCUAUCCUCCACCA